GGGGGUGUACUGGUUUCGACGGGGGUGUGGAGGCAGAAAUAGCGGGCGGAUGCGCCUACCAUCCUUAAAAUGGGCAACCUUAUAAAUUAAAGAACAACAACAAUACUGUUCUUCUCGCUGCUUAAUUAGCGAGCGUUCCCCCCGGGAGUACCACGGCCCGGGACGGAGCGUCGACGAGUGGUGAACGUGCGUAUGCUAAGCUUUGCGCAUACCAUGCAUCAUGAAGCUACCAAGUCCCUGAGCGUGACGGCCCGCACUGGGAUGAGGGAAUGCAAAGGACCGUCUGCGCCCGGAGAAGUUUCUGUCAAAGCGCUUUCGGACGGGAGUUCGAUUCUCCCCACCUCCACCA
RNAcentral lists this small RNA (349 nucleotides) under bovine gut metagenome. Its description in RNAcentral is "transfer-messenger RNA". It matches the Rfam family "transfer-messenger RNA". From Rfam's summary of the family: Bacterial tmRNA, also known as 10Sa RNA or SsrA, is named for its dual tRNA and mRNA-like properties. Its role is to liberate the mRNA from a stalled ribosome. The record is from RNAcentral.